Molecule: long non-coding RNA, 297 nt
Organism: Ictalurus punctatus (channel catfish)
Lineage: Eukaryota; Metazoa; Chordata; Actinopteri; Siluriformes; Ictaluridae
Source: Ensembl
GAGCACGACAUCUCAGUGUAUCCCCCACCGUCAAGAAAUCAAAAGUAACAUCAAGCAGAGAGAGAGAGAUAUGAGACAAGGACUGGAAGCAUCUCGAGAAAAGCGGUGACCAAAACCCCUGCCUUCCAAAGCAGAUAAGAAGUGAGAAACAUCUCCAAGAAGUUCAAAGGUUUCAGACAACUGUCACUUGGCAUCUAUGGGAACAGCAGGGUUGCAGGGAGACCAAAGGCUAUCACAGGACAUGGGGAACACGGCAGGGGACACCUUGGACGGGGUGCCAACCAUCGCAGGGCACAA